Molecule: long non-coding RNA, 1510 nt
Organism: Capsicum annuum
Lineage: Eukaryota; Viridiplantae; Streptophyta; Magnoliopsida; Solanales; Solanaceae
Exons: 3
Source: RefSeq, a predicted model, not a curated record
ACCCACUCUUCUCUUGUACCGUCUGACUUUUGGUUUCUCUGUAUCUCUUCUAAGGCCAUAGGAAAGGUACAUCUACUCCCCUAUUUAAGAAUUUCUAUAAAAUUUUACCUAUAUACUGGUCAAUCCUAUUGAAAAAGUUCAUCUAUUAAGUUCAUAUCAAUUCCACACUGUCUGGAUUAAGCUUGGGAUUCUUAACAACAAGUAUUUUUGAGCAGUUAUGAAAGAGGGGAAGCAAAAAAAACAUUACUAUUCUGAAAAACAUGACAGGAGAUAUACUGAAUAGCCCUUCCUCCAUAGUAGAAGAAAUUCUCUCAUUUUAUAAGUCCCUUUUGGGUUCUGUAGCAUCUAUACUACCUGCUGUGAAUAUGGUUACAAUGAGGGAGCACCACCAACAAGUCGAACUAUGUACUAAAGUUACUCAUGCAGAGAUUUCAGGUCCUUGUUGCACCUAUAUUUACAACCCUAACCCUUGCUUUAAAAUCUCCUCCACAACCUGUCAUUACAAUGCCUAGUUUAGCUAAAUUGCCCAAGCCCAAGGCUAAGGGUACAAACAAAAGGUAAAUGACCUUCGGGGAAAAGGUGAAGCUAGGGGCUGACUUGCAGGAUCUUCCCCUAGAGAAGUUGGAUCAUGCUUUGCGAAUUGUAAAAAGAAAACCCCUAAUCUUACACGGGAUGGGAAUGAGAUUGAGCUUGAAUUUGAGCUCAUUGGAAAUGAAAUGAUGUGGGAACUGGAGAGAUUUGUAGGUUACCAUAAGAAAGCUAUGAGCAAGAUGAGCAGACAAGGUGUCACUGAAGAUGUUGUUAUUGUACAGCUCAACAAGUCUCCUGAAAAGGCACCAACUCUAGAACCUGCAAUGCCUAAAAAUAAGAAAGUGGAUGUUGUGGAAGAGGAUGUUGAUAUUAGUGAGGAAAUCCCAGGUUAAAGCUUUCUUCCUAUGCAUAUUGACAAGGAUAUCCCAUGUGUGAGUCGUGGGUCAAGCAGUUCUAGUGGAAGAUCAAGUUUUGGCAGUAGUUCUUCUUCCAGUGAUUUAGAUUCAGGAAGUUCUUCUGGGAGUGAUUCUGAUGAGAAGCAUAGUGUACAGUCAUUUUUUGUUAAAGCAGCUAAAGAAUCUCCUAUAAUCUAAGCCAUUAAUGUGUUUGAGAAUUAGAUAUUGGUGUCUCAGGAAUUUAGAUCAACUGAAUAGUGCUAUGGUGCUUCCAUUAGUAUCUUAUCUGGCUGAUUUUUGUGAAUCUUUUUUAGUAGCUCAAAAGAUGAUCAUGGCUUUUGGAAGUCUGAUUAGUUCAAGAUUAGGAAAUUGAGAGGUUUUAGCUAACUACAGAGUAGUUAUAUAGGUAGAUGGGGAUGUUUAAAAUGGGGACUGUGACAACAAUCAUUUGGGUUUAUUUCUUGCUUGUAUACAGAAAAACACCUGCUGAUUCAGUGAUUAGGAAGGAUAGAAGUAAAUUGUACAGUGCAGUGCAGACUGAGUUAGUGGAACAAAGUUAUAGUCUCUAUUAAUCCUAAGAUGAA